UGCGCAGGCGGUUAUGUAAGACAGAGGUGAAAUCCCCGGGCUCAACCUGGGAACUGCAUUCAAAACUGACAAGCUAGAGUAUGGUAGAGGGUGGUGGAAUUUCCUGUGUAGCGGUGAAAUGCGUAGAUAUAGGAAGGAACACCAGUGGCGAAGGCGACCACCUGGACUGAUACUGACACUGAGGUGCGAAAGCGUGGGGAGCAAACAGGAUUAGAUACCCUCGUA
Molecule: ribosomal RNA, 225 nt
Filed under: uncultured Pseudomonas sp.
Lineage: Bacteria; Pseudomonadati; Pseudomonadota; Gammaproteobacteria; Pseudomonadales; Pseudomonadaceae
Description: partial 16S ribosomal RNA
Rfam family: Bacterial small subunit ribosomal RNA
Source: RNAcentral